Mytilus californianus (California mussel) is the source of this 601-nucleotide long non-coding RNA. RefSeq lists it as uncharacterized. The transcript has 5 exons. Lineage: Eukaryota; Metazoa; Mollusca; Bivalvia; Mytilida; Mytilidae. The record is from RefSeq and is a predicted model, not a curated record.
UAAUUAAUCGGUUCCUUACCCAACCCUGUAUUCCGGCAAUUAGUCUCCAAUGUAACAAUAAUUAUUUUAUUAUUGUUACAUUUCCAUGUAACCGUAUCCAGUGCCUUUUAUAUAACAAUACUGACAUACCAGCCAGUAUUGUGAUCGCCAAGGUGAUCAUGUAUAUAAUUCCUUACAAUGUCACACACAACCAUGAGUGUAACUGCUUAGCAGUUGCUUGUGUUGACUUGUCUGGUAAUUGUUCAGACAAGAGUUUAUGUAUCUUAAAAGCCUACAGAGCUGGUUGUCAGAAAUUAUGCGGCUGUCCGGACAAGACACAAGACAAGACACAAGACAAGACACCAGACACAGACACAGAAGCAAGCCUGAAGCAGAGAAGAGGAUUUUGUAAUAUCAGCUACGAUUGUAGUUGCAGAAGCGGACAGGUCGCUGUUUGCGUACACCAUGUUUGUAUAUGUGAAGAUCCAGUUGGAAAAUAGAAAAAGUAAAGAGAUUUCAAAAGCUACAUUUGGACAUGUAAAGUAUAUUCUUGAAAUAAAGUACACCGAAUUAUAUCAUGUUAUGCCCAACUGUGAUGAAAUGAAUUUGCUUAGUUUAGUGA